CUGUGUGAAUGUUGUUCAGCAACAGGGACAGAUGUGUUUGCUUCUGUGUGAAUGUUGUUUAGCACCAGGGACAGAUGUGUUUGCUU
This is a non-coding RNA of Branchiostoma floridae (Florida lancelet), 86 nucleotides long. The record is from Rfam. NCBI's taxonomy places the organism in Eukaryota, Metazoa, Chordata, Leptocardii, Amphioxiformes, Branchiostomatidae.